GGGGUCGUAGCUCAAAUGGUAGAGCGCCCGCUUAGCAUGCGGGAGGUAGGGGGAUCGAUGCCCUCCGACUCCA
Molecule: transfer RNA, 73 nt
Organism: Monoraphidium neglectum
Lineage: Eukaryota; Viridiplantae; Chlorophyta; Chlorophyceae; Sphaeropleales; Selenastraceae
Rfam family: tRNA
About the family: Transfer RNA (tRNA) molecules are approximately 80 nucleotides in length. Their secondary structure includes four short double-helical elements and three loops (D, anti-codon, and T loops).
Source: Rfam